UAGGGAAUCUUCGGCAAUGGACGGAAGUCUGACCGAGCAACGCCGCGUGAGUGAAGAAGGUUUUCGGAUCGUAAAGCUCUGUUGUAAGAGAAGAACGAGUGUGAGAGUGGAAAGUUCACACUGUGACGGUAUCUUACCAGAAAGGGACGGCUAACUACGUGCCAGCAGCCGCGGUAAUACGUAGGUCCCGAGCGUUGUCCGGAUUUAUUGGGCGUAAAGCGAGCGCAGGCGGUUAGAUAAGUCUGAAGUUAAAGGCUGUGGCUUAACCAUAGUACGCUUUGGAAACUGUUUAACUUGAGUGCAAGAGGGGAGAGUGGAAUUCCAUGUGUAGCGGUGAAAUGCGUAGAUAUAUGGAGGAACACCGGUGGCGAAAGCGGCUCUCUGGCUUGUAACUGACGCU
This 400-nucleotide ribosomal RNA is filed under the name uncultured bacterium. RNAcentral's name for it is "bacterial SSU rRNA". It matches the Rfam family "Bacterial small subunit ribosomal RNA", at positions 355 to 747 of the family's 1533-position model. The record is from RNAcentral.